GACGAGCGCUGGCGGCGUGCUUAACACAUGCAAGUCGAGCGGUAAGGCCCUUUCGGGGGUACACGAGCGGCGAACGGGUGAGUAACACGUGGGUGACCUGCCCUCAGCUCUGGGAUAAGCCUGGGAAACCGGGUCUAAUACUGGAUAUGACUCCAUGACGCAUGUUGUGGGGUGGAAAGCCUUGUGCGGCUGAGGAUGGGCCCGCGGCCUAUCAGCUUGUUGGUGGGGUGAUGGCCUACCAAGGCGACGACGGGUAGCCGGCCUGAGAGGGCGACCGGCCACACUGGGACCGAGACACGGCCCAGACUCCUACGGGAGGCAGCAGUGGGGAAUCUUGCGCAAUGGGCGAAAGCCUGACGCAGCGACGCCGCGUGAGGGAUGACGGCCU
Molecule: ribosomal RNA, 388 nt
Filed under: uncultured bacterium
Lineage: Bacteria
Description: bacterial SSU rRNA
Rfam family: Bacterial small subunit ribosomal RNA
Source: RNAcentral